This 363-nucleotide long non-coding RNA is filed under the name Anas platyrhynchos platyrhynchos (common mallard). RNAcentral describes it as "lncRNA (ENSAPLG00000018086.1)". Lineage: Eukaryota; Metazoa; Chordata; Aves; Anseriformes; Anatidae. The record is from RNAcentral.
UCUCCACUCAUUUGUGCCAGAAUAGCAUGUUCCUCUGGUAAAAUGGGUGGUAUGAAAGCCUUUGUCUGCAUAUUCCCAAAGAAAUGAAGAUAUGCGCAGAUACAAUCAUCCUUUUGCCAGAGCUGAGAAGUAUUAACACUAACAGUAUGGACAUGGGACUCUGCAGAUUGAAUUACUCUCACUAACUAUAAAGUUGGCACAAUGUACACUUCAACAUUGCUUAUCUGAAAGACAUCUCAUCCAAAGACAUUCAGCCUGAAGAAAUCUCUGCGUGAAUGUACUGCAGAUCCUGAAAACUCCCCUCCACCAAGCUCCAAAGAUUGUUAGUUGUAAUAAAAUUAAUCAGUAUUAGUUAUUGAAACA